UGCCUGUUGGUGUAAUGGCAACACGCCGGUUUCUGACACCGGUAUUCUUGGUUCGAGUCCAGGGCGGGCAG
This 71-nucleotide transfer RNA is filed under the name Mycobacterium phage Myrna. It matches the Rfam family "tRNA". From Rfam's summary of the family: Transfer RNA (tRNA) molecules are approximately 80 nucleotides in length. Lineage: Duplodnaviria; Heunggongvirae; Uroviricota; Caudoviricetes. The record is from Rfam by way of RNAcentral.